RNAcentral lists this non-coding RNA (56 nucleotides) under unclassified sequences. Its description in RNAcentral is "MDR-NUDIX RNA". It matches the Rfam family "MDR-NUDIX RNA". The record is from RNAcentral.
ACUAUGACCCGAGGGUCCUCUAUACGCAGACGUUUGGACGGCCAAACCAAUAGCGA